This 500-nucleotide ribosomal RNA is filed under the name uncultured Eubacteriales bacterium. RNAcentral's name for it is "bacterial SSU rRNA". It matches the Rfam family "Bacterial small subunit ribosomal RNA", at positions 8 to 507 of the family's 1533-position model. Lineage: Bacteria; Bacillati; Bacillota; Clostridia; Eubacteriales. The record is from RNAcentral.
AGAGUUUGAUCCUGGCUCAGGAUGAACGCUGGCGGCGUGCUUAACACAUGCAAGUCGAACGAAGCACUUAAGACGGAUUACUUCGGUUUGAAGUCUUAUUUGACUGAGUGGCGGACGGGUGAGUAACGCGUGGGUAACCUGCCUCAUACAGGGGGAUAACAGUUAGAAAUGACUGCUAAUACCGCAUAAGCGCACGGUCUCGCAUGGGACGGUGUGAAAAACUCCGGUGGUAUGAGAUGGACCCGCGUCUGAUUAGCUGGUUGGUGAGUAAGGGCUCACCAAGGCGACGAUCAGUAGCCGGCCUGAGAGGGUGAACGGCCACAUUGGGACUGAGACACGGCCCAAACUCCUACGGGAGGCAGCAGUGGGGAAUAUUGCACAAUGGGGGAAACCCUGAUGCAGCAACGCCGCGUGAAGGAAGAAGUAUUUCGGUAUGUAAACUUCUAUCAGCAGGGAAGAAAAUGACGGUACCUGACUAAGAAGCCCCGGCUAACUACGUG